Molecule: ribosomal RNA, 301 nt
Filed under: uncultured bacterium
Lineage: Bacteria
Description: partial 16S ribosomal RNA
Rfam family: Bacterial small subunit ribosomal RNA
Source: RNAcentral
CAGUAGCCGCGGGAAAACGUAGGUGGCAAGCGUUGUCCGGAUUUAUUGGGCGUAAAGCGAGCGCAGGCGGUUAGAUAAGUCUGAAGUUAAAGGCUGUGGCUUAACCAUAGUACGCUUUGGAAACUGUUUAACUUGAGUGCAAGAGGGGAGAGUGGAAUUCCAUGUGUAGCGGUGAAAUGCGUAGAUAUAUGGAGGAACACCGGUGGCGAAAGCGGCUCUCUGGCUUGUAACUGACGCUGAGGCUCGAAAGCGUGGGGAGCAAACAGGAUUAGAUACCCCCGUAGUCCCUGUCUCUUAUACC